ACGACGAUGGGUGUCGUACACUUACAUGAAACCUUAUAGGGACCAUCAAAAUAUAUGUUAAAUAUGAAAUGCAUGGUGUAUUAAAUAUUUGAAUUUAAGUCAAUUUAGUAGCGUUUUUAAGUGUGAGAGCUCAACCCAGUCAAACAUUCUGAAGCUGCACACAGGAGAAGUGAAGAGGGGUAUUGCAUCUCCUCGGUAUAGUUCCGGGCACUUCUAGAAUCCGUACUGAGAGGAGGGCACAGUCUCAGUCUCAGAGACGUGACCUGCACCCCCACUUCCUCGAGCUCUCGCACUCACAGUGCCAGCCAGCAGCCCUCCUUCCCCCUGCGGUCCCCUUCUGGCUGCCCUUAUCCCGCAGUACUGAAUCACACCGGAGGGAUUUCCUACAGCUCCAGCUCUCAACGAGCCCAGAGAAAUGACAAGGUACCUUCCUGAGGCUUGGUGCCUUUUCACGACAUAAUGAGGAUCAGAGCUUCUGCAGCAAGGUACCACUGUUCCCCAUAAGUAAAAUAAAUACUCUUUUUACAGUA
Long non-coding RNA from Paramormyrops kingsleyae, 530 nucleotides. RefSeq lists it as uncharacterized. The record is from RefSeq and is a predicted model, not a curated record. NCBI's taxonomy places the organism in Eukaryota, Metazoa, Chordata, Actinopteri, Osteoglossiformes, Mormyridae.